CGAACGGGAAAUAUUUCAUUGAGACUUCGGUGGAUUUGAUCUAUUUCUAGUGGCGGACGGGUGAGUAACGCGUGGGUAACCUGCCUUAUACAGGGGGAUAACAGUCAGAAAUGGCUGCUAAUACCGCAUAAGCGCACAGAGCUGCAUGGCUCAGUGUGAAAAACUCCGGUGGUAUAAGAUGGACCCGCGUUGGAUUAGCUAGUUGGUGGGGUAACGGCCCACCAAGGCGACGAUCCAUAGCCGGCCUGAGAGGGUGAACGGCCACAUUGGGACUGAGACACGGCCCAGACUCCUACGGGAGGCAGCAGUGGGGAAUAUUGCACAAUGGGGGAAACCCUGAUGCAGCGACGCCGCGUGAAGGAAGAAGUAUCUCGGUAUGUAAACUUCUAUCAGCAGGGAAGAUAGUGACGGUACCUGACUAAGAAGCCCCGGCUAACUACGUGCCAGCAGCCGCGGUAAUACGUAGGGGGCAAGCGUUAUCCGGAUUUACUGGGUGUAAAGGGAGCGUAGACGGAAUGGCAAGUCUGAUGUGAAAGGCCGGGGCUCAACCCCGGGACUGCAUUGGAAACUGUCAAUCUAGAGUACCGGAGGGGUAAGUGGAAUUCCUAGUGUAGCGGUGAAAUGCGUAGAUAUUAGGAGGAACACCAGUGGCGAAGGCG
RNAcentral lists this ribosomal RNA (659 nucleotides) under uncultured Lachnospiraceae bacterium. Its description in RNAcentral is "bacterial SSU rRNA". It matches the Rfam family "Bacterial small subunit ribosomal RNA", at positions 63 to 723 of the family's 1533-position model. The record is from RNAcentral. Lineage: Bacteria; Bacillati; Bacillota; Clostridia; Lachnospirales; Lachnospiraceae.